GACGAACGCUGGCGGCGUGCUUAACACAUGCAAGUCGAACGGAAAGGCCCUGCUUUUGUGGGGUGCUCGAGUGGCGAACGGGUGAGUAACACGUGAGUAACCUGCCCUUGACUUUGGGAUAACUUCAGGAAACUGGGGCUAAUACCGGAUAGGAGCUCCUGCUGCAUGGUGGGGGUUGGAAAGUUUCGGCGGUUGGGGAUGGACUCGCGGCUUAUCAGCUUGUUGGUGGGGUAGUGGCUUACCAAGGCUUUGACGGGUAGCCGGCCUGAGAGAGUGACCGGCCACAUUGGGACUGAGAUACGGCCCAGACUCCUACGGGAGGCAGCAGUGGGGAAUAUUGCACAAUGGGCGGAAGCCUGAUGCAGCAACGCCACGUGCGGGAUGACGGCCUUCGGGUUGUAAACCGCUUUCGCCUGUGACGAAGCGUGAGUGACGGUAAUGGGUAAAGAAGCACCGGCUAACUACGUG
Molecule: ribosomal RNA, 468 nt
Filed under: uncultured bacterium
Lineage: Bacteria
Description: partial 16S ribosomal RNA
Rfam family: Bacterial small subunit ribosomal RNA
Source: RNAcentral